RNAcentral lists this transfer RNA (73 nucleotides) under Myotis lucifugus (little brown bat). It matches the Rfam family "tRNA". From Rfam's summary of the family: Transfer RNA (tRNA) molecules are approximately 80 nucleotides in length. Their secondary structure includes four short double-helical elements and three loops (D, anti-codon, and T loops). Further hydrogen bonds mediate the characteristic L-shaped molecular structure. tRNAs have two regions of fundamental functional importance: the anti-codon, which is responsible for specific mRNA codon recognition, and the 3' end, to which the tRNAs corresponding amino acid is attached (by aminoacyl-tRNA synthetases). tRNAs cope with the degeneracy of the genetic code in two manners: having more than one tRNA (with a specific anti-codon) for a particular amino acid; and 'wobble' base-pairing, i.e. permitting non-standard base-pairing at the 3rd anti-codon position. The record is from Rfam by way of RNAcentral. Lineage: Eukaryota; Metazoa; Chordata; Mammalia; Chiroptera; Vespertilionidae.
GCUACUGUGGCUCAGUGGUUAGAGCGUCGGCCUAGGGACUGAAGGGUCCCAGGUUCAAUUCCGGUCAAGGGCA